This 468-nucleotide ribosomal RNA is filed under the name uncultured bacterium. Its description in RNAcentral is "partial 16S ribosomal RNA". It matches the Rfam family "Bacterial small subunit ribosomal RNA", at positions 28 to 507 of the family's 1533-position model. The record is from RNAcentral.
GACGAACGCUGGCGGCGUGCUUAACACAUGCAAGUCGAACGGAAAGGCCCUGCUUUUGUGGGGUGUUCGAGGGGGGAACGGGUGAGUAACACGGGAGUAACCCGCCCUUGUCUUUGGGAGAACUUCAGGAAACUGGGGCUAAUACCGGAUAGGAGUUCCUGCCGCAUGGUGGGGGGUGGAAAGCUUCGGCGGUUGGGGAUGGACUCGCGGCUUAUCAGCUUGUUGGUGGGGUAGUGGCUUACCAAGGCUUUGACGGGUAGCCGGCCUGGGAGGGUGACCGGCCUCAUUGGGACUGCGAUACGGCCCAGACUCCUACGGGAGGCAGCAGUGGGGGAUAUUGCACAAUGGGCGGAAGCCUGAUGCAGCAACGCCGCGUGCGGGAUGACGGCCUUCGGGUUGUAAACCGCUUUCGCCUGUGACGAAGCGUGAGUGACGGUAAUGGGUAAAGAAGCACCGGCUAACUACGUG